UUGGAGGGCAAGUCUGGUGCCAGCAGCCGCGGUAAUUCCAGCUCCAAUAGCGUAUAUUAAAGUUGUUGCAGUUAAAAAGCUCGUAGCUGAAUUUCGGGAUCAAUAUUUCGGUCAUGCCGUUGGUAUGCACUGUUAUCAUUGAUUUCUCACCUUCUAAAGAACCGUAAUGCCAUUAAUUUGGUGUUACGGGGAAUUAGGACUGUUACCUUGAAAAAAUUAGAGUGUUUAAAGCAGGCUCACGCUUGAAUACAUUAGCAUGGAAUAAUGAAAUAGGACAUCCGAUUCUAUUUUGUUGGUUUCUAGGAUCGAUGUAAUGAUUAAUAGGGAUAGUUGGGGGCAUUAGUAUUCAAUUGUCAGAGGUGAAAUUCUUGGAUUUAUUGAAGACUAACUACUGCGAAAGCAUUUGCCAAGGAUGUUUUCAUUAAUCAAGAACGAAAGUUAGGGGAUCGAAGACGAUCAGAUACCGUCGUAGUCUUAACCAUAAACUAUGCCGACUAGGGAUCGGAUGAUGUUAAUUUUUUAAUGACUCAUUCGGCGCCUUACGGGAAACCAAAGUGUUUGGGUUC
Molecule: ribosomal RNA, 566 nt
Filed under: Funneliformis mosseae
Lineage: Eukaryota; Fungi; Glomeromycota; Glomeromycetes; Glomerales; Glomeraceae
Description: SSU rRNA
Rfam family: Eukaryotic small subunit ribosomal RNA
Source: RNAcentral